Molecule: transfer RNA, 77 nt
Filed under: Solobacterium moorei
Lineage: Bacteria; Bacillati; Bacillota; Erysipelotrichia; Erysipelotrichales; Erysipelotrichaceae
Also listed under: 4 other names
Description: tRNA-Arg(ccg)
Rfam family: tRNA
About the family: Transfer RNA (tRNA) molecules are approximately 80 nucleotides in length. Their secondary structure includes four short double-helical elements and three loops (D, anti-codon, and T loops).
Source: RNAcentral
GUGCUCGUGGCGCAACUGGAUAGCGCAUUUGAUUCCGAAUCAAAAGGUUGUGGGUUCAAUUCCCAUCGAGCACACCA